RNAcentral lists this ribosomal RNA (460 nucleotides) under uncultured bacterium. RNAcentral's name for it is "partial 16S ribosomal RNA". It matches the Rfam family "Bacterial small subunit ribosomal RNA", at positions 338 to 795 of the family's 1533-position model. The record is from RNAcentral.
CCUACGGGAGGCAGCAGUGAGGAAUAUUGGUCAAUGGCCGUAAGGCUGAACCAGCCAAGUAGCGUGAGGGAAGACUGCCCUAUGGGUUGUAAACCUCUUUUAUGCGGGGAUAAAGGUGUCCACGUGUGGCUGUUUGCAGGUACCGCAUGAAUAAGGACCGGCUAAUUCCGGGCCAGCAGCCGCGGUAAUACGGAAGGUCCGGGCGUUGUCCGGAUUUAUUGGGUUGAAAGGGUGCGUAGGCCGGUCUUUAAGCGUGCCGUGAAAUUUUGUGGCUCAACCAUGAGAGUGCGGCGCGAACUGGAGACCUUGAGUGCGCGGAAGGCAGGCGGAAUUCGUGGUGUAGCGGUGAAAUGCUUAGAUAUCACGAAGAACCCCGAUUGCGAAGGCAGCCUGCCGCAGCGUUACUGACGCUGAAGCUCGAAAGCGCGGGUAUCGAACAGGAUUAGAUACCCCUGUAGUC